RNAcentral lists this long non-coding RNA (8755 nucleotides) under Solanum tuberosum (potato). RNAcentral's name for it is "long non-coding RNA (STUB_LNC006743)". Lineage: Eukaryota; Viridiplantae; Streptophyta; Magnoliopsida; Solanales; Solanaceae. The record is from RNAcentral.
CUGAUUUUUGUCAUAUUUCCAAACAACAACCAUAUUGAACAUGACCACUAUAUUCAUCAGAAGUUUCUACUUUUGUCCAUUUUUUCACUUUGCCAUCACUCUCCACAUCCAAAUCCAAAGCAUAAAUACUAUAUAGUUCAUCAAAUUGGCCCCUUCCCACCAAUAUCAACUUCCCUUGACACGCUGUCAAAUAUGCCACGCUGGUAAUCCCUGCUGGCAACCCCCGACACGAUGUCAAAUAUGCCACGCUAGUAAUCCCUGCUGGCAACCUCGUCAACUUCCGCCACGUAGGAUCUUCCUUCACUGCCACGUCACCGCCUCGGCACAUGUAUAAUUUCCCAUCAUCACCUUCAAUGCAACUAUGAGGAGAAGUGUUGAUCACACUCAAGAAGUCAUCUUCCAGUUGCCACUGCCACGUGGCGGUGUCGAACACCUCAGCAUCAUUCUCAAAGUGACCUUGCGCCCACGUAGGAUAACCGCCGAUGACGUGGAAUUUACCUUUGUGAAAUACAACCUUACAUUCGUCUCUCUCCAUGACCAUGUCAGGAAGUGUAAUCCACUCGUCUUUAACGACGUCGUAUGAGAGCGCCGAUUUCAUCGCAUUCUUUUCGUCGUCAUGGCCACCGGCGACGACGAUCAUUCUAUUGGAAUCCGAUGCACAUCCGAAGAAUGACCUCUGCUGACCUGGCAUAUCCGCCCCACGACGCCAUGACCCGGAUAUGAAAUUGUAAACGAAAACACAAUCCAUAACCCGCCAAGUAUCCGGAUCACACCCGCCAAUCACUACUAAAUCCGACCCGACUCCAACAAUCCGGCAAAACCUCGGCAAUCCAUCAAUCAACUCCGGUAUCGGCGGCAAAUCAUACCAGGAGCCGUUUUCCGGGUCACAUACAGAGAGCCGGUAAACCUGAGUAGAAAAAAGUGCAGUAUCACCCUCUGGUUUUUUCACAGUAGCAACCAUAGAUUGUACCAUGGCGAAAACGGUUCGGGUCAACCCAGAAACUUUCCGCCGGCGGCGAAACUCCGGCAACGUGAUCUCGCCGUUCCAUUUUUUGCAUACUGAAGCUGCUUUAGAAAAUUGAUCAACAGGUAGACGUAUGAGACAUUCAAGAGCUAUUUCAUUAGGUAUCCCCGGGAUCAGGUCCAUGGCCCUAGCUCGCCUUUUUGGUAUAUUAUGAUUUGGUCGUAAAUUUGUAUGGAAGAAAAUAUUUGAAGUAAAUUUAGUUAUGUUUUUUCCUUUUUCAGAUUUAGUAGAAAGGGAAAUAAAAUCAUGAAUUUAUGGGGCAAAAUGAAAGGACAUAAUUUAUGGAACGUUGGUUUGACAAAACUGUAAGCGUGACUGGGUCCAGUUUUAUAGUGUUCGUUGGGGAUGGAUAAUGAGUAGUGAAACAAGUUAAAGAGUUUACUUUGUGAAGUAGCAGUGGGGGCAAAGUGGAGGGCACAGAGUCCAGAGAGGUUGUUUUCAGAGUAAUACACACAAGUACUGCAACUUGGUGAAUACGGCUAUAAUCAAAAUUAUAAUUGGCUGGCUAUAAUAUUUAUAGAGUAAUUACAGGCAUAUAACGCGUAGAAGUUCUUGCGAUUGUCACGUGCCAUGACAUCAUUUAUUUAUUUUUUAUCCGAUCUAUAUUAUAUUGUAAAGUUAAAUUGUUCCUAAUUAUAAAAUGGUGACAUUAUUUUUGAGACAGACUAAAAAAAAAAAGAGCGUUAAAUAAAUUGAAACAAAGAGAGUAUCUCACAAGUCAUAUGGUCUCUACAUCAAAUAUAUAGCUAGGUUUAUAAUUGUAAAAUAAUACAUUUAUGUUAAGACUAUAUUUUGUUAAAACAACCCCACAUUAUUAUAUCUACUAACCAUUUAUUUCAUAUGUAAAUAAAAUCUAUAAUCACAUCAUUAUUUUUUAAAAUUUAUUAUUCUCACCAACAUAAAAUUCAUUAUUAAUUUUAAAUUGACGAAUAUAAAUGAUAAAGUAGAAAUUGAUUUGGUGAAUACAAAUAAGAAUCGAGGGAGUAAUAUUUUUUUGGUUUUUCAUAGUAAAAAAAAAAUCUCUUUCGGCUAAAUAUGAAAAUGUUUAAAACAAUUUAAUAUUAAAAUGGACAAAAUUGGUGAUGUAUGUUUGAUAGUUACUACUUCCAGUAUGUUUGAUUUUAGCACGAAACUAAUGCAUUGAAAAUGUGCAAUUGCACACAGGUGAAAUAAGGCAUGAACCAUUAUGAUAUUGACACACACGUGAAAAUUGUCAUAGCUUGUACAAUGUCACAUUUUGCGAGAAUACCAAAGAAGUGAUGGAAUAUUUAUGGUCUAUGAGCAUGAAAAUAUAGUUGCGGAUGAUAUUGACCAACAAAUGGCUCAAAUUAACAAUGUUGGUUCGUCUUCUUUGUCAUAUGAUCGAGAUAUGCAAGUUCAACGUGAGGAGAUUGUAUGUAUUAUGUGGGAGAAUUAUAUUAAAGAUCAGUACGUACACUACAAUUUUAUGUUCAAUUUUUUUAUUGAAUUAAAGUUUGAUCAAUUAAAAUUAGAAGAAAUUGUUACUUAAGUGGAGAACAAAUAACUUUGUAAUAAUUUAUUAUGCGAUUUUAUAAAUUUUUGUUUAUUUUAUAAGAUUGAAUAAACAAUUGGGGGCUAUUUUAAUAGUUUCACAACUUAUAGAAUUCUUAUGUUUAUGAGAAAAUAUACAACACACAUAUUCAAUAUCACAUGUCCAAACAAAACUUCAUUUUCGUCUCAUGAUUUCAUAUUAUGAUAUCAUAUCAUGAUUCUAUAUAAUGAUUUCAUAUCGCAUAUCCAAACAGGCCCUUAAUAUAUACUUAUUUUGUCUAACUUCAGACAAAAAUAUGUUCCUUCUUCACUUUUUCCUCGAACGUCCUCUUCUUUUAUUUCAAAUUUUAAUUUGGUGUUGGUAUGGAGAGUUAAUGCACGCAUGAAUGUAACAAAUACAAUCAUCUGAUAUUUUAAAAAUAUGUAGAAAAGAGAGAAGUGGAAACAUAUAAUACAAUUCAACAAAUACAAUUGCUUAACACUUAAAAAAUAUAGGCCUAACCCAUUGGUAGCCCCCUAAAGUUGGCAUCAUGUUUCACUUAGACAACUUAAGGAGGCAAUGUUCAUUUUAGACAGUUAAUGUAGGGUUUCAUUGUGUCAUUUUGACACUUUUUGUUUACAUAGCAUAACAUUGACUAGCGUGUGAAAUGAUUUUUUUUGUUAAUUUUUAAUUAUAUUUUUCUUCUUCUUCCCAUUUUUUAGCUACCAUUUUGCAUACAUCGUGAAUGAAGGUUUCAAUAACUGAUGGAGUGAAUUUCUUUGAACUAGCAAAAUCUUUCAUUCACUUAAACCUAUUAAUUAGGCCAAAAAAAGAAGGAGAAAGUGACUGUAAAAUUUUUCAAUGGCGCACAGAUUUAGUGAACCAAUGCAGAUGUUUCUGUCAAAGGAAUAAAGGUAUUUAGAGAAGACAAGCCGAUGGGCCAUUUUCUGCAAAAGGUAUGGCGAAGACACACGUUGGGCGGAGAGGAUAAUCAGUGUUUUAGGGGGUGGGGUAUUUGGAGAAAACUGUUUGGGGUGGGGGGUUUCUUUUAUUGAUUUAAGUUUUAUUUUAAUUUGUAAUUAUUUGGUUCAUGUGUCAUAUUAUCAUUGGCUAAUUUUUAUUUUCACUCAAAAUUAAUGAUUUAAAAAUUACUUUUGACAUAAAUGACAAAUGUCGUUAUUUAAUUUGUCACUUUACACGUCGUUCGCGAGUGUAACACACACAUUAUAUAUUUUUGUUGAUAUAAAAAAAGUGUCAAAAUAACACAAUGGGACCCAAUAUUAAGUGUCUAAAAUGAACAUCGCCUACUUAAGAUGUCUAACUGAAAUAUGGUGCCAACUUUAGGGGACUAUCGAUGGAUUAGGCCAAAAAUAUAUAUACAAAUAUAGGCACAGAAGGUGGAAACACAUGCUACAAUCUAAAUCCACUAUGAAAUAUGAAUACAAUAAUUAUAUAUAUCCAAAAAAAUAAUAUAAAUACAGUUGUUUGGUACCUCAACAAAUAUAGAAAUACUUAGAGGGGAGAGUGAAAAUACAAAAUACAAAUAAAGAGGGUGGGGAAAGAUAGAUAUGUUUGUUUGUUUUUUUUACUUAGCAUCUCAAACAAUGUUGAUAUGAAUCGUAAAUAUUCAAACUAUAAUUUUAGAUGGUUAAUUAUAUACCCAAAAUGAUAGUCAUGUUUGAAAUUUUCUCAUUAAUUUAUUCGCAUCAAAGGGAAAAUAUUUGAAACUCCAAUAGUUGACACACCACUAUUAUAAUAUAAGUAUUUCCUCCAUUUUAUUUUAAUAUGUUUCAAAAAGAAACGUCUUUUUUUUUAAGACAAACUCUUUAGUAUUAGCUUUCCACAUAACAUAUUUAAGUUAUCAGAUUAAAAGACAAUUUUAAUGCAUUUUUAGAUAUCUUUAGUUUAAAACCACGAAAUUUUUUUUAAAAAAUAUUUUCUUUAAUGUGAAAGGGAGGGAGAGUACUAGGUAAAACUAUAUAUGUCAUUUACUAUAUAUGGCGUUUACUUGAAAAAAUGCUGAUUAGAGCUUUAUGUAGGAUUCGAGACUGGACCAUUCAACAAAGGUGGACCAUGCAUAUAUAGGCCAUAACUCACUUUUGCUUUUUUGUUUUACCCUUUAAUUUUCUAUACUAACUUGGGAUAUUAAUUGGAUCACACUUUUAUAUGGAUGUGGUAGAAUUAUAUAUUCAUAUCUAUUGAAUUACUAGAUAUAGGACCCCGUGCCAGCACGGGGCCCAAUAUAUAUAUAUAUUUUUUUUUUAUUAUUAUUAUUAUUUUUUUUUAAUUUAUGUCAUAUUAUGGAAUUUGAGAAAUUAUUGAAAAUUUUAUAUGAUUUUUAAAAUAUUUUAAAUUGUUAGCUAUUGUGAUUUGUAGUACUUUUUUUUUAACAUAAUUUUGAAAAUAAUAUUUAUUACUCUCUUUGUUCUAAUUUAUGUGGCACAUGCAAAAUUUCAAAUAUUAACCCUUUUUUAUAUGUCUCUUUAAUAUAUUAAGUUGUUAAUUAUUGUAUUUUAUACUACAUUUUGAACCUACUUUUUUAAUAAUAUAUGUUAUUUGCCAUGUCCCAAUUUAUGUGGCAUUAAUUGAUAGAUUUGUUGGAGCUUGUUAAUUAUUGUAAUAUAUAAUAUGGAGUAUUUAAGUUAUAUAUAUUUAUUAUUAUUAUAAAUAUAAAUAUAAAUAUUAUAUGUUACCUUUUUUAUCUUAAUUUAUAUGGCAUUGAUAGAAUUUAAAGUGUCAAAUAAUUGUUAAUUAUUGUAAUAUAUAAUAUGGAGUAUUUAAGUUAUAUAUAUUUAUUAUUAUUAUAAAUAUAAAUAUAAAUAUUAUAUGUUACCUUUUUUAUCUUAAUUUAUAUGGCAUUGAUAGAAUUUAAAGUGUCAAAUAAUUGUUAAUUAUUGUAAUAUAUAAUAUGGAGUAUUUAAGUCAUUUAUAGUAUAGUAAUUAAUAUAUAAUAUGUAGUAUUAAAGUGGAAAGUGGUGGGGCCCACGUAUAAAUAUAUUGGAUAUUAGUAGUGAUUCUUAUUGGAACACAUGUUGAGGUGUGGUGCUUGGUUAUUCACACUUAUUAUAUAUAGUAAUAUAAAUUUUAAAAGAAAAGAUUCUUUGAGUCUUCUCGAAGGAAAAAGACCGCAAAGAGAAGUUCAUGAUAUCUCUUUCGGAUGAAUUGUCAAAAGUUUAAAAUUUAUAAAUCGUGAAUUCAUAUAACAAUAUAAUUUAGUCAUUGAGUUCAUACAUUUAAUAUGUUGAGAGAGAUCUAAACAAAACUUAUUUGAUUUGUUCGAGCCAACACCUCUUUCUACCAAAGAAACAUGACAUGAAGGGUGAUGGUCAAGUGUUCUGGCAUGAUUCGUUGUCAUGGAAAAAUCCAUUUGCUUAUAACACUACUAUAAAAUGUGAUAGUUUUGGCAACAUUGUAUGUUUUAUAUAUUGGAGAUUUCAAAGUUUUUAAUUGUCUUUUUAUAUAUAUACCAUAUUAUUGUAAGCUAACCAAUGAUGUGGACAACUCGUGUAAAAUACUUUGCCACAGCUAGUUUUAAUCUUUUGUUAUUAUAAUGAUAGUAUAAAAUUUGUUUAAACUAUUAAAUAUAACACAAAUUAUUUAACUCGUGCGUUACAUGCUUGAUUUAUUAAGUGUACCUGAGUCGGGUAUAAAAAAUGAUACUCUUUCUAUAUUCAUUCACAAGAUAAAAAUAAUUAAGAUUGCGUACACAUUACUAUCUUCAAACCCCGCGCAUAGAAAGAAACUUUAGAGUGACGAAAAUUGUGGAGUAGAUUUUUUUUGUUAGUAUCCCAAACUUUAUUAGUCACUACCAUAAGAUUCUCUAUAGCUGGACAAAGCUGCUACGUAAAUAAAAUAAAAGGGGAAAGAAGAAAAAGAGGUAAGGUUGUUUUUAAAACUGAAAGGAAUAAAGGGAAGAGGAAAAAGGAAAAGCGACUAAAUUAAAUUAAAUUAAAUUAAAUGGGAAUAAAGGUAAUCUUCUUGUUUUUUAACAAAGGCUAACCACACUAUAGAUGACUAGCCAUAAAGGCAAAAUGUAUGGUUCAAAUUGCAGACGUGGUAAUGUACACAUUUUAUGUUAGAUGAGAAAACACACUUGAACCAAAAAAAAUAAAAAAAAUAAUGAGAAAAGACGUUUCCUAUUGGUGUUCUAGAUUCGCGCCAUGUAUGACCUAUUAGCGUUGUUUAUCAAGAAUAUUUUCAUCUUCAAAAGUCAAAUUCGAGACUUUUGAUUGAGGAAAGAGCAACUUCAUUCACUUUACCACGUAACAGAUGAUAGUUUUUUCGAUUAUUAGACGGCAACUGACAUUCGAUUAUUCUUUGUCCAUUUUUAGUGCUGUUAAAUCGAUUAGUAUAAUUUGUUUGUUUCCGCAUGUUUGUACGAAGAAUAAGGAAUAGUUAUUAAUUUCAUAAUUAAUUUAAGAUGCAUUUAUUAUAUGUUUGAUUGAGAUAAAAUUAUAAGAUAAUUUACUUUGAGAUUGUAGUGUUAUUUUUAUCCCACAUUAAGAAUGACGAGGCGAGUAACAAAUAUAAAGAGAUAUUAAUAUGGUGCAAAAGAGAGAAAUAAAAUACCCUCUAAUUAAAAAAAAAUUAUUAAAGGGAUGUACAAAACAAAAUACACCCUUGAUUCCUUUUUAUUUGUCACAGUUUCAUUUUUAUAGUGAAACGAUAUGAACUUUGACUAAUAAUUUAAGAUGUAUUUUUCAGUAUUAUUGAUAUAAAAAAAAUUGUAAUUUCUAGUACUUUUUGUAUAGUUUUUGAAUAUCUAAUUUUUUUAUUUUUAAAUAUAUUAAAUUAAUGCAAAACAUUGAAAGUUAAUACUCUAAAAAAAUGUAACGUGACGGCUAAACAGGAACGGAUGGAGUAUAACAAGCAAGAUGGACCAUAGGGAGAAAUUUCUUCCUCAUUAAUACUUAUUAUUGAUUUGUCAGGAAGAAGAAUCAUCUUACCAAGUUGAUUAGCUAAUUAAUCUGAUUAUAAAGUCAACUCCAACAUUAUUGUAAUGAGCAUUAAUUAAUAAUAACAUGUUUAAUUGAACAAAUUCAAGCAUUAGCCACCGAUAUCAUCGAUCCACUUGCUCUAAACCAUCCAUUUUUCAACUUCAUUAUUUUGAGAAUGUAUAAUAGCUUCUUCCCAUAUUUUUUAAUUAAAUGAUGUUUGCAGAUAAUUAUUGAUUCAUUACACUUAAUGUCAAUAAAAUUGAUUUUUGUAACGAAAAAAUUACUCAACUAUGUUUAUAUCGUAAAGGAAAUUUUAAAAUAUCAACAAAAUGAUAUUUUUUUCUUUUUCUUGGUAUUUUUAUUUUGGGAUCCCACUAAUUCAGCAUUUUCGAUAAAAUGUUUUGUUCGACUCUACAAACACAAAUAUCUCUAUAGUAGUACCAAGCAAAAACGUUUUUUUCCUCCAUUAGAUUAGCAAAAGUGUGGCACAAUAGUAAUCUUUAACCAUGACUGCAAGAAAUUGAAUGUCAAAUGUAGGCAGUAGGCCAAUACUAUGCUUUUUCACAUGUAGUAUUUUGUCAAAACAUGAUUCACAAUACACAAUGGUACAUAGCCAAAAAUAAAAGCAAUCAUGACAGAAUAAUUUUAUUUUAUUUUUCCAUUUGUUAUCUGAUAAUCGUAUUAAGGUUUGAUUAGUCCAAAUUUGUAUAUUACAUGACUCAUUGUUAAAGGCGGUGCUUCCAACAAAAUUAAAAAAUGAGACGGAUCGAGAUAGAAGAUCUCUAACCAUGACCAUAAUGCAAUAACAAUAUGUAGAUAGUAAUCAAUAUGGAUCGUGGUGAAAUGAUUGAGAUUCCUCUAUCCUUGACCAGAAAUUUCAUAUUCGAGCCCUAAUAUGCCGAAUGAAAAAAGAAGACAAUAUGCAGAUAGUAAACCAAUUCAAAACUUGAAACACAAUACACAACUGUACAUGCUAAAAAUUAGAGCAAUCAUGCCAGAAUAAUUGAGUAUCUUAGAAAGGAAAUUAAAAGGACAAAAAAACACUCUCAUUCUUAAAACUAAGUACUGAUUUUUGUCAUAUUUCCAAACAACAACCAUAUUGAACAUGACCACUAUAUUCAUCAGAAGUUUCUACUUUUGUCCAUUUUUUCACUUUGCCAUCACUCUCCACAUCCAAAUCCAAAGCAUAAAUACUAUAUAGUUCAUCAAAUUGGCCCCUUCCCACCAAUAUCAACUUCCCUUGACACGCUGUCAAAUAUGCCACGCUGGUAAUCCCUGCUGGCAACCCCGCCAACUUCUGCC